Molecule: long non-coding RNA, 326 nt
Organism: Triticum aestivum (bread wheat)
Lineage: Eukaryota; Viridiplantae; Streptophyta; Magnoliopsida; Poales; Poaceae
Exons: 3
Source: RefSeq, a predicted model, not a curated record
GCGUGCUGAGCAGUACUUUUCUCGUCGUUGGUUUGGUAACCAAACCAACGUAUUUUCUUCUUCCUUAUAUCCUUUAGCUUCAGCUUGUGUGCUACUACGGCUCCUUGACGAUCUCAAUCUAGCUCUACUCUUCGGAGACUUCUGGCACAAAAGCUAGCAACCCCCGCAGAAGUGUAGAUUGAUUCCUGCCUCAGAUGUUGGUGAGAUGAUUACAAUCUAGUAGAACAGAUUGCACAUUUUUUCCAGCCAGGUACCAUAUCUUCGAGGUCCGUCUCCUCCCUGUCUUUGUUUGAAAGUAGGAUAUAUACCGUAGUCAUGCAUGCAAC